UACGGAGGGUGCAAGCGUUGUCCGGAUUUAUUGGGUUUAAAGGGUGCGUAGGCGGCAGAUUAAGUCAGCGGUGAAAUUCCACAGCUCAACUGUGGAACUGCCAUUGAUACUGGUUUGCUUGAGUACAGAUGAGGUAGGCGGAAUUGACAGUGUAGCGGUGAAAUGCUUAGAUAUUGUCAAGAACACCUAUUGCGAAGGCAGCUUACUAAGCUGUAACUGACGCUGAGGCACGAAAGCGUGGGGAUCAAAC
This 250-nucleotide ribosomal RNA is filed under the name uncultured bacterium. RNAcentral's name for it is "partial 16S ribosomal RNA". It matches the Rfam family "Bacterial small subunit ribosomal RNA", at positions 524 to 773 of the family's 1533-position model. The record is from RNAcentral.